Molecule: long non-coding RNA, 556 nt
Organism: Hevea brasiliensis (rubber tree)
Lineage: Eukaryota; Viridiplantae; Streptophyta; Magnoliopsida; Malpighiales; Euphorbiaceae
Exons: 2
Source: RefSeq, a predicted model, not a curated record
UUCUUUUCUUGGUUAAAAUAUAAAAGAAAAGCAACCAAACAAUGUAAAAGAUUACCCAAAUUUAGACGUACCAAUCUCCUGUUGCUCUAUUACUACUAGUGGCCGGCAUCUCCUUUGAAGCAGGUAGCAGAACAUAAUCUGGUAGCUAGCUAGAGCUCUCCUGCAAACCUGAUUUUGAUCUCAUAAGCUUCAACAGCAGAUCUUUAAAGACGAGACAAAAGGCUGCUUCUAGCUAGAGAUAUGUGAAUGUUAAUCUGCACAUGCUUUAUGAGAUCUACGGCCCACCAUAAGUUUGAAGAUAUAGAGAGGAGAGAUGGGAUCGACACGCCUUGGAAAUCUCAAAGUUGCUGUCAUCUUCCACAGUUUCUUUCUUUCUUUCUUUCUUUCUUUCUUUCUUUCUCUAGUUUUCUACUACCAGCUCUUAAAAAUAGUCCCCUCGCAGUCUGCCAAUAAUAUGAUUAUUUAAGGAUUAAAUUCUAAACACUUGUCUCAAAUUUUCAAAAUGCUUUGAUUAAUUAUAAGGGUUAAUUAAUCUUGAUUUAAACGCUUGCUUUAA